RNAcentral lists this ribosomal RNA (498 nucleotides) under uncultured Glomeromycotina. RNAcentral's name for it is "partial small subunit ribosomal RNA". It matches the Rfam family "Eukaryotic small subunit ribosomal RNA", at positions 591 to 1092 of the family's 1831-position model. Lineage: Eukaryota; Fungi; Glomeromycota. The record is from RNAcentral.
CCAAUAGCGUAUAUUAAAGUUGUUGCAGUUAAAAAGCUCGUAGUUGAAUUUCGGGAUCAAUAUGUUGGUCGUGCCUUGGUACGUACUAAUUUAUUGGUUUCUUCCUUCUGACAAACCAUGAUGUCAUUAAUUUGGUGUCAUGGGGAAUCAGGACUGUUACUUUGAAAAAAUUAGAGUGUUUAAAGCAGGCUCACGCUUGAAUACAUUAGCAUGGAAUAAUGAAAUAGGACGUUUGAUUCUAUUUUGUUGGUUUCUAGGAUCGACGUAAUGAUUAAUAGGGAUAGUUGGGGGCAUUAGUAUUCAAUUGUCAGAGGUGAAAUUCUUGGAUUUAUUGAAGACUAACUACUGCGAAAGCAUUUGCCAAGGAUGUUUUCAUUAAUCAAGAACGAAAGUUAGGGGAUCGAAGACGAUCAGAUACCGUCGUAGUCUUAACCAUAAACUAUGCCGACUAGGGAUCGGAUGAUGUUAAUUUUUUAAUGACUCAUUCGGCGCCUUACG